UUCCGGUUGAUCCUGCCGGAGAUCACUGCUAUUGGAAUCCGGCUAAGGCAUGCGAGUCGAGAGGGUACGGCCCUCGGCGGACGGCUCAGUAACACGUGGACAAUCUGCCCUUAGGUGGGGGAUAAUCUCGAGAAAUUGAGCAUAAUACCCCAUAGUCCUAGAUUGCUGGAAUGCUUCUAGAAUAAAAGCCCCGGCGCCUAAGGAUGAGUCUGCGGCCUAUCAGGUUGUAGUGAGUGUAACGGACUCACUAGCCGACGACGGGUACGGGUCCUGGAAGGGAGCGCCCGGAGAUGGACUCUGAGACACGAGUCCAGGCCCUACGGGGCGCAGCAGCUACGAAAACUUCACAAUGCGGGAAACCGCGAUGAGGGGAUUCCAAGUGCUAAUACUUUGUAUUAGCUGUUUACUUGCCUAAAAAGCAGGUAGAGUAAGGGCUGGGUAAGACUGGUGCCAGCCGCCGCGGUAAUACCUGCAGCUCAAGUGGUGGCCGCUAUUAUUGGGCCUAAAACGUCCGUAGCCGGUUUAGUAAAUGCUUGGGUAAAUUGUGUAGCUUAACUAUACGAAUACCGGGUAGACUGCUAAACUUGGGACCGGGAGAGGCUAGAGGUACUCCUAGGGUAGAGGUGAAAUUCUGUAAUCCUAGGGGGACCACCAGUGGCGAAGGCGUCUAGCUAGAACGGGUCUGACGGUGAGGGACGAAGCCCUGGGGCGCAAACCGGAUUAGAUACCCGGGUAGUCCAGGGUGUAAACGCUGCUUGCUUGAUGUUAGUUGGACUCCGAGCCCAACUAGUGUCGGAGAGAAGUUGUUAAGCAAGCUGCCUGGGAAGUACGGUCGCAAGACUGAAACUUAAAGGAAUUGGCGGGGGAGCCACAGCAACGGGUGGAGCGUGCGGUUUAA
This 898-nucleotide ribosomal RNA is filed under the name uncultured archaeon. Its description in RNAcentral is "bacterial SSU rRNA". It matches the Rfam family "Archaeal small subunit ribosomal RNA", at positions 1 to 905 of the family's 1478-position model. The record is from RNAcentral.